GCCUGAAGCAGGAGAAUCGCUUGAACCUGGGAGGUGGAGGUUGCAGUGAGCCGUGAUUGUGCCAUUGCACUCCAGCCUGGGAGACAGAGCAAGACUCUGUCUCAAGAAAAAAAAAAAAAGAUGUCUGAAGCUCAGAUUCCUCAAGAGGAAUAAGAGGGUGGGACAGUGGUGUCACUCAGAGCUGUUAUGAGGAUUAAAUGACAUAAUGUAUCUAGCAUAACGAUAGUCAUAGUCAUCACAGAUAAACGUCAGGUCCCUCACUUUUUCCUCUAAAAUGAAAAGUGUGUAUCAAGGACACUCCUAAGCACUAUAAAAUGUAGUACAGAAAAUACACAAGUCCUUCAAUUUGGUAGAGAGAUUUAUCAUGGGGGGAGUGUGUGCAUCUGCAACUGAAAAACACAGAAGGCUGGACACGGUGGUUCACACCUGUAAUCCCAGCACUUUGGGAGGUUGAGGCGGGCAGAUCACCUGAGGUCACGAGUUCAAGACCAGCCUGACCAACACGGAGAAACCCCAUCUCUACUAAAAAUACAAAAUUAGCCGGGCGUGGUGGCGCAUACCUGUAUCCCAGCUACUUGGGAGGCUGAGGCAGGAGAAUCGCUUGAACCCAGGAGGCAGAGGUGAGCCAAGAUCACACCACUGCACUCCAACCUGGGCAAUGAGCAAAACUCUGUCUCAAAAAACAAACAAACAAAAAAACAAAACACACACACACACAGAAAAGUAUGGCACUAUAACAAACAUGGUUUUAGUUAUGGUGUAUUUUCUACAACAUGGUUUAGUGGAAAAGAUUAAACUAGGCCUCAGGAAACUAGGUUCUCCUUGCAGCUCUACUAUUUAUUGGCAACACAAACUUGGACAAAUCACUUAUGCUCUCUGUGCCUGUUUCAUCAUCCACAAAAUAGGAUAAAUUCACUCUGCCCACCUCUCUGUCCACCUUGUGCCCAAAAUAAAAAAAAUACAGAUGGAGGCACUCUGAAAACCACAAAGCAACACAAAUGUUAAUAUAAUUAAAUGUGUUUAUUACGGAGAAGGGGCUUGACUUUGUGACUACAACUUUGUGCAAAAAGGUCUAGACGUUAGGCCUGUUUAUAGAAGGUAGUUAAAGAAAAUGUAGCUUUGGGCUAGCAAUGUUCUGCUUUUAGUACACAUCCAUUUUGAGACCAGGCAAAUAGAGGUUUAGUGAAUAUGAGAUCAUUUGCAAAAUCUACCAGAGAAGAAAAUGAUUUCCCUUUAGGAAGAGAUAAUACCAGUUUUUCUCUUGCAAACCUAUUCUGAGUUGUUACAGGUCUCCUGUCAAAAUAAGCAUGAAAGCACCAAUGGCCACUACACACGACAGGUAUGCUACUUUACAAUCACCCUGCCCCUAGAAAAGCUUAAGAAACUUUAUGUAUUUUAACUAGAGAGGUGGUCUCAUAACUAAAGAUGAGAUUCAGCAGAGAAAAGCAAAGAUAUUUCAAAUGACUGUCAGGAACUUCCUGGCUCCUUGGGCCUUGGUCUUCCCUCCUGUUAACCGAUUCCAGCCAUCAGCAAAAGGAGCCUCUAGGAAGCUUCUGAAGUUUGAUUCAUAAUCAAGGUGAGUUUCAACGUUCAGUCUUUCGCCCCAAGCCCUUCUCGCCUCAUCUCUCCUGUUUCCAGGCUCAAUCACUGGUUUUAUUCUUGGGUCCUAGUCUCUGUGGCCUACAUUUUUUCUUUUGUUUUUGGCCACAUCCUCCGUUUCUGGUCCUUGAUCUUCACUGUUCAUUUCCUGAGCCUCCACUUCCACUUAUCUGCCUUGCCUGCCCGUCUUACCUGGCUAGUUUUACCUGUGUCCUACCACCUGCAUCCUACUUUGCUACUCUAAAUUCCUAGAUGUUGCAUUUGCCUGAAACCUAGAACCUAUUUCUUGUCCUGUAAACUUAGAACCUAUUUCUUGUACAACCUGGUCCUGACUGGAUUCUGAACACAGUGCUUAUUCUAUCUAGCUGAAUUUCAAGUCUUUAUAUUUUUCUCCAGUCUGUUUACCCAUCCAGUUUCUACUGGACAUGCCUCUUCUCAAGGCAGAAACUCAACUGCUUUCAGUAUCGCCAGCCUGCCCUAGUGUAACCCUCAACUCUUGGGGGAGAGAAAAAGAGAGGGAUAAACCACCACUACUGACCACUGAAGCAAGAAGUAAUGUUUUCAGGACAAUUUUUUUUUUUUGAGACAGGGUCUCAUUCCCGUCGCCCAGGCUGCAGUGAAGUGGCACAUACUCGGCUCACUGCAGCCCUGAUUUUCCGGGAUCAGGUGAUCUCCCACUUUAGCCUCUCAAAUAGCUGGGACUACAGGUGCGCCACCACACCCAGCUAAUUUUUUGUAUCCUUAGUAGAGAUGGGGUUUCACCAUGUUGCCCAGGCUGGUCUUAACUCCUGAAUUCAAGUGAUCCACCUGCCUUGGCCUCAGCCUCCCAAAGUGCUUAGAUUACAGGUGUGAGCCACUACACCCAGCCUCUUUCAGGACAACUUUAUAUGCAGUCUACUGGCAUGCCUAGGUGAAAAUAAACUAAAUGACUGAAAAUGUUAGUAUUUUGACCCUUAUAAAUUCAAAAGGCAGAGAGAGCAUUUUGGAUGGGACAGAUGGCAAUUGAAAAUAAGCUUGUUUACC
Molecule: long non-coding RNA, 2622 nt
Filed under: Homo sapiens (human)
Lineage: Eukaryota; Metazoa; Chordata; Mammalia; Primates; Hominidae
Description: HSALNT0391575
Source: RNAcentral